RNAcentral lists this long non-coding RNA (2938 nucleotides) under Setaria viridis. RNAcentral describes it as "long non-coding RNA (SVIR_LNC000257)". Lineage: Eukaryota; Viridiplantae; Streptophyta; Magnoliopsida; Poales; Poaceae. The record is from RNAcentral.
AAGAGCGGUUGAGUGCACUGAAUGAUGCUUUUACUCCUGGUCCUGAACUUCAAGGGGACAAUGUUGAUACAUUAUACACGUAAGUACUAUUGGUGCUUCAAUGGAUGCUUUGUCACUGUUCCUUCUGUCGUUUUCAUGUCGCGUGUUGCCUGGUGGAUUGCAGGAGUCCAGAGGCAUUACACACUUGGGCAAGUGCUAUAGUAGAUGCAUAUUAUAACAGCAGAGAAGGCACUCUCCUUGGACAAGCAAGAGACUUGAUGAACCCAAAAAUCAUCAGGAGAGUCGAAGAGAUAGUGAAGAUAAUCAAGGACAAAUACCUUUAAUCUUUGGUUAUCAGAAAUUUUGGGUUUUAACAUUUCUACUGAUUGCACAAAGUCUUGCGCGGUGACCAUAGGAUGAUGGCCCUGUACGAACUGCUCCCUGCAAAACUACAGGCAUUAUUCCAGCGGAACUCUUCACCACUGUCGACUCCUUACAGAUUAAAGGAAAUGCAGAUUGUUGUAACUCAUUACAUGAAAAGGUGGUUGUAGCAUGUGAUGUAUCAAUGUAGCUUUCACAUAGAUAUUAAGGGAGUAUCCACGUCUCGUACACACUAACAGUGUUGUAACUGGUUUGACUAGUUUAGAAUCAGAAGUCAUAUGUAUGUACCCAAAUAUCCUUGUAAUGAGCUCCUCGAUGAUCUCAAUAGUUGUACGGAUGGUGCUGACCCACUCUGAUUAAGACUUCUAUUUCAGCAUGACAAAUGUUUCUGGACAUGUUUGAGGCUUUGAGCCGAAUGAUGUAAUAAGACUCAGUCGAUGCUCAUAUUUACAGCUAUGUUACCCAUGUGGCAUAGUCAACAAGAUUAAGAAGGUCUAUCAAACUACAACUUCUCGAUAGAUAUGUUUUGCUGCAUUCUUAUAAAAAAUUGUUUGCUCUCAUGCAGCUGCAGGACAAAGAACUCUAGUGGAGUAAAAGCCUCAAACUCUGGAUUAACGCCUGGUCCUGCGAACACGUAUGUUAUCCUCAAACCUAUGCCGGGAUAUUAUAUUGAAUAGACAAUCAUUUAGUGAUCUUUCAGAAAUCUAGUUUAUAUUGUUUACCGUAAGGUCAUUUUCCGUCCUACUCCUCAAUCUUGUUUGAUGUUUCGUGCUAUCCCUCUGUAUGAUGUGGUUGACAGUUACGACAAGCUUUUUACAUGUAUUUACUUGCCCAGAUAAGCUACUGUGGUUUUCAUACACGAAGGUCAUUCCAAAUAAACAGCGCACACCAAAUGGAACUUCAAGUUGCUGUUAAAUUGCAAAUAAUUUAACCAAGAUACUGUUGAUUCCACAGGCAAAUCCAAAUCAGCCGUUAAAUUUUUUAACUUCUGUUGGUUUUCUACUGCUUUUACAGUUGGCAUGUUAUGCCGCAUCGUUUUAUACAUUAUAUGUCGUAAUUUAUCUAGUGUGUUAGUACCAUCCCCCUUUAUAAUGUGGUUGAGAGUUGAGACAAAACAUUUACGUGUGUUUGCUUGCAAAGAUGAAUAACCGUGCUUUUCAUGCAAAGGUCACUGCAAAUAAACUAAUGUGGGAGAAAUGAAAACUCCAACUUGCUGUUAAAUUCAAAAGGAUUUAGACAAAGAAUAUGCUGAUUCCACCGACUGAUCCAGAUCGACCAUAGAAAUGUUCAAAUUUCUUUUGGGUCUACUGCUUUUACAAAUCAGACGCUUGCAUCGUUUGGACCACUACCUCUAAGGUCUAACAAAUUCCUGCAUAUCUUGUUUGAGGUUGGUAGGUACUACAUACCAUCCUACGUAUAAUGUGGUUGGCAGUUAAGACAAAACUUACGUGUAUGUUUGCUUGCCACGAUAAACAACCGUGCUUUUCAUGGUCACUCACUGCAAAUAAACUAGUGUGCGCAAAAUUUAAAAGUUCAACUUGCUGUUAAAUUCCAAAGGAUUUAACCCGAGAAUAUGCUGAUUCCGCUGGCAAUUCAGUAUCAACCACAGAAAUGUUCAAAAUUUAGUCUGGUUUUACUGCAUUUACAAUCGAGAGAUGCUUCCAAGUUCCAACGUCUCUGGACCACAACCUCCAAGAAGGUUUAAAACAAUUUUUGCAUAGAAGAAAGAGGUGUGAUAGGAUAUAGUGGUUCAAAAAUGAGUUUUUAACAGCAGUACAGGCAGGUUCAGCUCCCGAGCGUAGUUGUAAGGAGUCGGUGCUCGUAGCCUAAGAGGGGGAGGGGUGAAUUAGCCAACUUAAAACUUUAACUUAUGACUUUCACUACUUUUGCAUCAAACUUAAACUAGAUCAAGCUAUCAAUCUAGUAUGAAACCCUCGUCCCAAAAUAAGUUUUGCAACCUAGAGCCAAUCCUAACAAGAUACUACACUAAGAAAGUAAAGGCACAUAAGUUGCAAUUAUGAAAUGCGGAAAUGUAAGAGGUGAGGAUGAGGGGAAGCAAACUCUUUGACACGAUGAUUUAUCCCAUAGCAUCGGUAGGCACUAAGCCACCGCUAGUUCACGUUGUUGAAGCACUCACACAAGAGUAUUGCUUACCGGUCACAAGUCUCUUCCGGGACACCCCUUGACUUGCCACAAAGGCUUGACCACUAAGGAUCACGUCAAGUUCCCCGGUCACCUUGAUGCCAUCUCCACUAAGGAGCUUUUCCACGAAGGGGUCUCCACAUCCCCUGCAUACGGUCGUCGAUGCUGCUCCACACAAAGCCGCAGGGUUGAAGACUUGCCAGCGAGCCGCCAAGGCUCCAAGGUGCCGGCACACCUUCUACAGCUAUGGUUCACUCCUAGAACCGAUCACAAGGUAAGCACAACUUGCACUCUCUCUUCUCUAGGUCUAUCCUAACACUAAUCACUCUUCUAAGCUUGUGCUAAGUCUUUGACUAAUCACUUAUGCACUUUUGGUGGCUUGGAUGUGUUCUUGAUAAGUCUUGAUCUUCAAUGGAUUCUUGCACACUCCAGCAAC